GACGAACGCUGGCGGCGUGCUUAACACAUGCAAGUCGAACGAUGACGACCGAGCUUGCUCGGUCUGAUUAGUGGCGAACGGGUGAGUAACACGUGAGCAACCUGCCCUUCACUCUGGGAUAACCCCGGGAAAUCGGGGCUAAUACCGGAUAUGAGCUCCUGUCGCAUGGCGGGUGUUGGAAAGUUUUUCGGUUAAGGAUGGGCUCGCGGCCUAUCAGUUUGUUGGUGAGGUAGUGGCUCACCAAGGCGAUGACGGGUAGCCGGCCUGAGAGGGCGAACGGCCACACUGGGACUGCGACACGGCCCAGACUCCUACGGGAGGCAGCAGUGGGGAAUCUUGCACAAUGGGCGAAAGCCUGAUGCAGCGACGCCGCGUGAGGGAUGCCGGCCUUCGGGUUGUAAACCUCUUUCAGCAGGGAAGAAGCGAAAGUGACGGUACCUGCAGAAGAAGCGCCGGCUAACUACGUG
This 467-nucleotide ribosomal RNA is filed under the name uncultured bacterium. RNAcentral's name for it is "partial 16S ribosomal RNA". It matches the Rfam family "Bacterial small subunit ribosomal RNA", at positions 28 to 507 of the family's 1533-position model. The record is from RNAcentral.